AUGCCCUGGUCCCUCCUUGUCCUUCUGCUGAGCACUUUCCUCGGAGUCAGCGCGCAGACCGUGCACCAGUGGCCGGUGGUUGUGGUGCGGCGUGUGGGCAGCCCCCUGACCCUGCGAUGCACUGUGACCGGGACCUCGAACCCCAAUCUGUACUGGUACCGGCGGGCCACGGAUGGGCCCCUCCAGCUGCUCUUCGUCUCCAUUAGCGUGGACGACCUUCAGGCCGAGGGCCCGGGGCACCUCUCGGCUUCCCGUCCCAGGGACGGCGAGUUGACUCUGAGUGCCGAGUCCCUGCAGCCAGGGGACUCGGGAACAUAUCUCUGCGCCUGGGGCGCACACUGCGUGGGUCCUGCCAGUCGCCUUGCAAAAACCCAGCUCUGGGCACACACGGCCCCGCGGAGGGCUGCUCUGUGA
Elephantulus edwardii (Cape elephant shrew) is the source of this 414-nucleotide non-coding RNA. The record is from the annotation of a RefSeq genome assembly. NCBI's taxonomy places the organism in Eukaryota, Metazoa, Chordata, Mammalia, Macroscelidea, Macroscelididae.